Long non-coding RNA from Panicum virgatum (switchgrass), 496 nucleotides. RefSeq lists it as uncharacterized. Lineage: Eukaryota; Viridiplantae; Streptophyta; Magnoliopsida; Poales; Poaceae. The transcript is spliced from 2 exons. The record is from RefSeq and is a predicted model, not a curated record.
GGAUCACAACAGUUUACUGGAGCGGGGCCGUCUUCGUAUCACCCUAUGCCGCCACUAGGAGGAUACGAAGGAGCUUCUUCCUAUCCAUCACCACCACCACCACCUGAAACACAGGGGUGGUCUGAAGACAACGACACGGCCUCCUUCGACUACUUUACACGAUUGUUUGCUACGCCUGCCCAGGACGAUGAUCCCAGCUUGCAUACACCUGUGGCUUUGUUACGCCGUCCUGCCAGAGACGUUGGGACACCGGAGUGUCAUAGCUACCCUACAAAUCACGUGCACGCACAACGUAAGAGAGGUCGGAAUGGUAGGGGUGGUUAGUUGUUGGCACUUGUUUCUCUAUUGUUAUUAUGGACUGUUUUGACUGUUCGGAUUAUGGUUGUUUAUGAUUGUGGUAGUUUACUUGUCAUUUGUUUCUAUAGAUAUUAUUGAUGCGAACUUGUUAUGUUUGUGGGUUCCAUAAUGCUCGUGAAAUAAGGGAAGUUCUUGCGAA